This 255-nucleotide long non-coding RNA is filed under the name Callithrix jacchus (white-tufted-ear marmoset). Its description in RNAcentral is "lncRNA (ENSCJAG00000073662.1)". The record is from RNAcentral. Lineage: Eukaryota; Metazoa; Chordata; Mammalia; Primates; Cebidae.
GCUCCUUAUCAGCACUACUGCUUCAGCUAAUCUCUUACCAGCUUUCCGGAAAGGGACAGCUUCUCAGAUUUUAGCAAGGUUGGAACCACCCAUUGCCUGCCUUGCCCUCCAUCCUGUGCUUAUAAAAACUUCAUACCCAGCUGGCAGAGAGGAGAAGCAGCUGGACAUCAGAGACUAUGGCUGGAUGUUGAAAAAAACACUUUAGGUAUGAAGGCAGUGGCUCAGAUAAUGCUCAGAGGGCUGAAACGUGCCUGA